UACGGAGGGGGCUAGCGUUGUUCGGAAUUACUGGGCGUAAAGCGCGCGUAGGCGGACCUGCAGGUCGGGGGUGAAAGCCCGAGGCUCAACCUCGGAACUGCCUUCGAUACUGCCGUGCUUGAGGACUGGAGAGGAGACUGGAAUUUACGGUGUAGCGGUGAAAUGCGUAGAUAUCGUAAGGAAGACCAGUGGCGAAGGCGGGUCUCUGGACAGUUCCUGACGCUGAGGCACGAAGGCCAGGGGAGCAAACGGG
Molecule: ribosomal RNA, 253 nt
Filed under: uncultured bacterium
Lineage: Bacteria
Description: partial 16S ribosomal RNA
Rfam family: Bacterial small subunit ribosomal RNA
Source: RNAcentral